This 253-nucleotide ribosomal RNA is filed under the name uncultured bacterium. RNAcentral describes it as "partial 16S ribosomal RNA". It matches the Rfam family "Archaeal small subunit ribosomal RNA", at positions 474 to 727 of the family's 1478-position model. The record is from RNAcentral.
UACCAGCACCCCGAGUGGUCGGGACGAUUAUUGGGCCUAAAGCAUCCGUAGUCGGUCCUACAAGUCUUCCGUUAAAUCCACCUGCUUAACAGAUGGGCUGCGGAAGAUACUAUAGGGCUAGGAGGCGGGAGAGGCAAGCGGUACUCAGUGGGUAGGGGUAAAAUCCUCUGAUCCAUUGAAGACCACCAGUGGCGAAGGCGGCUUGCCAGAACGCGCUCGACGGUGAGGGAUGAAAGCUGGGGGAGCAAACCGG